CACGACGUGCUGCCUCCCACGGUGCGAGGGCCGGCCUAGUCAUGCCAGUGUGCGUACACAACACCCAGAACACGGUGAUGAACUCACCGCCGCGCGCCAGCGCCUCCUUAUGGGCCUUCACGUGGAGGUCGCCGGCCGAUGGCGCCACAUACACCAUGACCUCCAUUCAAAGGGAAGGCAGGUUAUGGCGGGUGAUGGAAGGAACGAACCAGAUUCGUUACUGAACACGAGGGAUGGGCCAAGAAGCCAUGCUGAGAUGGGGCCUUCGGACGGAAGCGCACGUGGCGGGGCUUUCUCCUGCAUCGCCAGUACCGCUCACGAAACGUCUUGCUUUGUCGACAUGGAUGCCAACAGGAUGCUAAACCAGAUUCAUGGGAGGAGAAAUAUUUCAAACCACAUCCAACACCCGAUUGCAUCAAUGUGUGGUACUAAGAUACCGUACCAUGACUGCUCCAUCUUUUCUUGGUCGGCGACGCUGCCAAGGUCGAGGCGCAGUAGAACACGGUGGCGAUGUUGGUGUACCUCUCCUGACGACCGACCCUGAGCCUGUGGUAGCCACCUGCUGCUGUUCUCCACUCUCGAAGUGUCGCGCUGCUCGGUGAGCCUCGUGGAGGAGGCGGUGAUCGUGGCCAGCUUGGAGCCAAAGGGUCUAGCGUGUGCGGGCGGCCACUUCAGAAGCAGCAGGAGGUUUGGCAGCUCUAUGCCAACAGUCACGGUGAGCAAGGUAUGGUUAACAAGGUUUGCGGCAAGAAGAUAUACAUUGCACAUCGCUUGCUGCAGGUAUCGCUUUUACUUGUCAUCUUGUUUUUUUGUGUUGCUUUUGGACUAGUGUUCAGAUUAAUACUCUAAUAAAAAAUAAAGUUUGGAGCUAGGGGUUAUUUUUAAAAAUAUCUUAAAAAGUUUAAAAAUAAAAAAAUCAAACGUAUUACACGUUACAGUGAGGGGCGUGGAGUAUCACCGGUCACUUGUAUUUGUGAAGGGGUGUUUGGCAGCACUCCUGUGAUGACCGACCCCUAAUCUCCCAAGUUAAUCUUAAUCCUAGCCCUUGAU
This is a long non-coding RNA of Setaria italica (foxtail millet), 1050 nucleotides long. RefSeq lists it as uncharacterized. The transcript has 3 exons. NCBI's taxonomy places the organism in Eukaryota, Viridiplantae, Streptophyta, Magnoliopsida, Poales, Poaceae. The record is from RefSeq and is a predicted model, not a curated record.